Molecule: ribosomal RNA, 525 nt
Filed under: uncultured bacterium
Lineage: Bacteria
Description: bacterial SSU rRNA
Rfam family: Bacterial small subunit ribosomal RNA
Source: RNAcentral
ACAUCCAGAGAACUUAGCAGAGAUGCUUUGGUGCCUUCGGGAACUCUGAGACAGGUGCUGCAUGGCUGUCGUCAGCUCGUGUUGUGAAAUGUUGGGUUAAGUCCCGCAACGAGCGCAACCCUUAUCCUUUGUUGCCAGCGAUUCGGUCGGGAACUCAAAGGAGACUGCCGGUGAUAAACCGGAGGAAGGUGGGGAUGACGUCAAGUCAUCAUGGCCCUUACGGCCAGGGCUACACACGUGCUACAAUGGCGCAUACAAAGAGAAGCGACCUCGCGAGAGCAAGCGGACCUCAUAAAGUGCGUCGUAGUCCGGAUUGGAGUCUGCAACUCGACUCCAUGAAGUCGGAAUCGCUAGUAAUCGUAGAUCAGAAUGCUACGGUGAAUACGUUCCCGGGCCUUGUACACACCGCCCGUCACACCAUGGGAGUGGGUUGCAAAAGAAGUAGGUAGCUUAACCUUCGGGAGGGCGCUUACCACUUUGUGAUUCAUGACUGGGGUGAAGUCGUAACAAGGUAGGCGUACUACA